RNAcentral lists this transfer RNA (73 nucleotides) under Acidobacteriota bacterium. RNAcentral's name for it is "Acidobacteria bacterium tRNA-Val". It matches the Rfam family "tRNA". From Rfam's summary of the family: Transfer RNA (tRNA) molecules are approximately 80 nucleotides in length. Their secondary structure includes four short double-helical elements and three loops (D, anti-codon, and T loops). The record is from RNAcentral. Lineage: Bacteria; Pseudomonadati; Acidobacteriota.
GUGCGUAGCUCAGGGGAAGAGCACUUCCUUGACGCGGAAGGGGUCAGCGGUUCAAUUCCGCUCGCACCUACCA